UGGUACUCGGGGGGAGGUUACCCGGGCAACUUUGCAUCUGGACGACGAAUGUUGCUCGGUGAACCCCUCUUCGGUAUCA
MicroRNA precursor from Choloepus hoffmanni (Hoffmann's two-fingered sloth), 79 nucleotides. NCBI's taxonomy places the organism in Eukaryota, Metazoa, Chordata, Mammalia, Pilosa, Megalonychidae. The record is from Ensembl.